UGGAAGGAGGCUGGACCGGAGGCGAGACUCUGAGCCCGCGUGAUUGGCUGCGAUCCUAGACGUUGAUGGGAUAGGGCGCCCGGGAGAACUGGGGAGAGGCGUUCGGGGUCGGGGCCGCGGGAAGGCGGGAGGCGCCCCGCCGCUUUCGGGGCCCGGCGCGGGGCACGCUGGGACGCCUCCGGGAAGGGGCGGAGCCGUGCGCGGGCUGCGGUUGGGGAAGCGCCGUCACCCGGAGGGGCGUGUUGGAGAAGGUUUCGCGGGCCCAAGCGGGGGAGGGGGGACCGUUAAAGCGCUGCACCGCGCCCACAGGAAGCUGCUUUAAUGGUUAGGCCUACUCGGUACCAGGCUCUCGGCUGGGAAGGACCUUGAAGACCAUGCGGUUCAACUUCCAAUUUGCAGAUGUGGAAACUGAAGCCCAGAGAGGUAGAGUCUGUGCACUCUGUGAUCACUGUAAGAAUGAAGGAUGAGCCCGCACUUCUUUCCACUCGUAAAGGCCACAGCAUUAGCUUCAUCCUACCACACCGCUUCACAUUCUUCCGACUUUCAAGAGCUCCACUGAUGGAAGAGGGAACUGACCCGUGAGGAAAGCAACAGUCAUCUCAUCCAUCCUCAUUCAUCUCAAAUAUGUUAAAUGUUUUGUACUUUUUCUUAUAAACUGUUUCUCUCCAUCAUCUUGUAUUCUAUGUUCUUGUCUUGAGACUUCUCCCAUUAAACCAUCAUUUAGUA
Equus quagga is the source of this 726-nucleotide long non-coding RNA. RefSeq lists it as uncharacterized. The transcript has 2 exons. Lineage: Eukaryota; Metazoa; Chordata; Mammalia; Perissodactyla; Equidae. The record is from RefSeq and is a predicted model, not a curated record.